Molecule: ribosomal RNA, 440 nt
Filed under: uncultured bacterium
Lineage: Bacteria
Description: partial 16S ribosomal RNA
Rfam family: Bacterial small subunit ribosomal RNA
Source: RNAcentral
CCUACGGUGGGCAGCAGUGGGGAAUAUUGCACAAUGGGGGAAACCCUGAUGCAGCGACGCCGCGUGAGUGAAGAAGUAAUUCGUUAUGUAAAGCUCUAUCAGCAGGGAAGAAAAUGACGGUACCUGAGUAAGAAGCCCCGGCUAACUACGUGCCAGCAGCCGCGGUACUACGUAGGGGGCAAGCGUUAUCCGGAUUUACUGGGUGUAAAGGGAGCGUAGACGGGAGGGCAAGUCUGGAGUGAAAGGCGGGGGCACAACCCCCGGACUGCUCUGGAAACUGUACGGCUGGAGUGCAGGAGAGGUAAGUGGAAUUCCUAGUGUAGCGGUGAAAUGCGUAGAUAUUAGGAGGAACACCAGUGGCGAAGGCGGCUUACUGGACUGUAACUGACGUUGAGGCUCGAAAGCGUGGGGAGCAAACAGGAUUAGAUACCCCUGUAGUC